UUUCCGUAGGUGAACCUGCGGAAGGAUCAUUAAAAAAUUGGACUCCAUUGGUGAGUUCAUUAAUAAUCCUACCCUUUGUGAAUUUGUUUGUUCGAAUAAUUUUUUUUCCAAAAAAAAUUAUUGAAUGUCUUUCCCUGUUUUGGUGGAGCUUGUAAAGUGAAACCAGGCAGGGGAAUGGCAAACAAUAAUUAUUUUUGAAAAAGACCUUUUUUAAAAUUAAACUUUUUGUAUUCAUUUGUCUAAAAUUAUUUUUAUAAUAUAAAAACAACUUUUGGCAAUGGAUCUCUUGGUUCUCGCAACGAUGAAGAACGCAGCAAAAUGCGACAAGUAGUGUGAAUUGCAGAAUACGUGAAUCAUCGAAUCUUCGAACGCAUAUUGCACUUUUUUAGUUUACUAAAAAAGUAUGUCUGUUUGAGUAUCAGUAAAAUAUUCUCAUAAAAAAUUUAUUUUUUAUGGUUAUGAGUGUUUUACAACGAUAACAAGUUGUUUCACUUUAAAUUCUUUGUUAUCAAAAAAAUCAUUAAAAGCUAAUUUUAAAGAUUUUUUAAAAUUGGAUAAAAUUUUCCCGUAAAAAGGAAUAACCUAAACAAUUUUAAAAAAUUAAAAUUGGUUUGAUUUUUCUUGAUUUAAAAAGGAAAAAAAAGUAAAAAUUAACUUGAUCUCAAAUCAGAUAAGAGUACCCGCUGAACUUAAGCAUAUCAAUAAGCGGAGGAAAAGAAACUAACUAGGAUUCCCUCAGUAACGGCGAGUGAAGCGGGAAGAGCUCAAAUUUGAAAUCUUCAAGGUUUUACCUUGACGAAUUGUAGUUUAAAGAAGUGUUUUCUGUUGGAGUUUUGGUAAAAGUUCUUUGGAAAAGGACAUCAUAGAGGGUGAGAAUCCCGUAUUUGACCAUUAUCUCCAGCUUUGUGAUACACUUUCAAAGAGUCGGAUUGUUUGGGAAUGCAGUCCAAAAUGGGUGGUAAAUUUCAUCUAAAGCUAAAUACUGGCGAGAGACCGAUAGCGAACAAGUACCGUGAGGGAAAGAUGAAAAGAACUUUGAAAAGAGAGUUAAACAGUACGUGAAAUUGUCAAAAGGGAAGCGUUUGACACCAGUGUUGUUUUCUCGAAAAUCAAUUAAAAAAGGCCGGAUUUUGUGUUGUAUUGACUUUAUCAGCUUUCUGCACUUUUUUCUUGUCUUUUUUAAUGCACUUUUCGUUUAACAAGUCAACAUCAAUUUCUUUUGUUGUAAAAGGGUCAUUGGAAGGUGGCUUUCUUUUCGGAGAAAGUGUUUAUAGCCUUUGGCCUCUGCAAUCGGAGAGAUUGAGGUCUGCAGCGUAGAUCCUUCGGGGUUAGAUACAUUUGUGCUAAGUUAUAGCCUUUCAUAGACAACUUGUUGACUAUGAUCAGUCAUGUAGCUUACUCGCUUAUGCUACUUUACCUACGCUUAGGAUGUUG
RNAcentral lists this unclassified non-coding RNA (1434 nucleotides) under uncultured Neocallimastigales. Its description in RNAcentral is "partial contains small subunit ribosomal RNA, internal transcribed spacer 1, 5.8S ribosomal RNA, internal transcribed spacer 2, and large subunit ribosomal RNA". The stretch from base 657 to 1434 matches the Rfam family "Eukaryotic large subunit ribosomal RNA", at positions 1 to 628 of the family's 3401-position model. Lineage: Eukaryota; Fungi; Neocallimastigomycota; Neocallimastigomycetes; Neocallimastigales. The record is from RNAcentral.